Molecule: ribosomal RNA, 254 nt
Filed under: uncultured bacterium
Lineage: Bacteria
Description: partial 16S ribosomal RNA
Rfam family: Bacterial small subunit ribosomal RNA
Source: RNAcentral
UGCCAGAAUGGCUUGGUGCUCGAAAGAGAACCGUAACACAGGUGCUGCAUGGCUGUCGCCAGAUCGUGUCGUGAGAUGUUGGGUUAAGUCCCGCAACGAGCGCAACCCUUGUCAUUAGUUGCUACAUUUGGUUGGGCACUCUAAUGAGACUGCCGGUGACAAACCGGAGGAAGGUGGGGACGACGUCAAGUCCUCAUGGCCCUUAUAGGUAGGGCUACACACGUCAUACAAUGGAUGGUACAGAGGGUCGCCAA